CACGUAGGAGGCGAGCGUUGUCCGGAAUCAUUGGGCGUAAAGCGCGCGCAGGCGGCUUGGCAAGUCGGGUGUGAAAUCCCGGGGCUCAACCCCGUGACUGCAUUCGAUACUGUCAGGCUAGAGUUAGGUAGGGGAGAUCGGAAUUCCUGGUGUAGCGGUGAAAUGCGCAGAUAUCAGGAGGAACACCGGUGGCGAAGGCGGAUCUCUGGGCCUUACCUGACGCUCAGGCGCGAAAGCUAGGGGAGCGAACAGG
This 253-nucleotide ribosomal RNA is filed under the name uncultured bacterium. RNAcentral's name for it is "partial 16S ribosomal RNA". It matches the Rfam family "Bacterial small subunit ribosomal RNA", at positions 524 to 776 of the family's 1533-position model. The record is from RNAcentral.